GUCCUUUUAGUAUAAAAAGUAUAUUUAACUUCCAAUUAAAAGGAUCAAUAAAUUGAAAAGGACA
This 64-nucleotide transfer RNA is filed under the name Sclomina xingrensis. Its description in RNAcentral is "tRNA-Gly". Lineage: Eukaryota; Metazoa; Arthropoda; Insecta; Hemiptera; Reduviidae. The record is from RNAcentral.